Molecule: ribosomal RNA, 450 nt
Filed under: soil bacterium 02G-08
Lineage: Bacteria
Description: bacterial SSU rRNA
Rfam family: Bacterial small subunit ribosomal RNA
Source: RNAcentral
UCAGGAUGAACGCNGGCGGCGUGCUUAACACAUNCAAGUCGAACGAUGAACCUCACUUGUGGGGGGAUUAGUGGCGAACGGGUGAGUAACACGUGAGUAACCUGCCCUUAANUNUGGGAUAAGCCUGGGAAACUGGGUNUAAUACCGGAUAUGACUCCUCAUCNCAUGGUGGGGGGUGGAAAGCUUUUUGUGGUUUUGGAUGGACUCGCGGCCUAUCAGCUUGUUGGUGAGGUAAUGGCUCACCAAGGCGACGACGGGUAGCCGGCCUGAGAGGGUGACCGGCCACACUGGGACUGAGACACGGCCCAGACUCCUACGGGAGGCAGCAGUGGGGAAUAUUGCACAAUGGGCGCAAGCCUGAUGCAGCGACGCCGCGUGAGGGAUGACGGCCUUCGGGUUGUAAACCUCUUUCAGUAGGGAAGAAGCGAAAGUGACGGUACCUGCAGAAGA